This 353-nucleotide ribosomal RNA is filed under the name Odoribacter denticanis. RNAcentral's name for it is "partial 16S ribosomal RNA". It matches the Rfam family "Bacterial small subunit ribosomal RNA", at positions 796 to 1150 of the family's 1533-position model. The record is from RNAcentral. Lineage: Bacteria; Pseudomonadati; Bacteroidota; Bacteroidia; Bacteroidales; Odoribacteraceae.
CACGCCGUAAACGAUGCUCACCGGCUCUAUGCGAUAAGACAGUAUGGGGCUAAUACGAAAUAAUUAAGUGAGCCACCUGGGGAGUACGUCGGCAACGAUGAAACUCAAAGGAAUUGACGGGGGCCCGCACAAGCGGAGGAACAUGUGGUUUAAUUCGAUGAUACGCGAGGAACCUUACCCGGGUUUAAAUGUAUGUNGCAUUAUGUAGAAAUACGUAUUUUCUUNGGAACUGCAUACAAGGUGCUGCAUGGUUGUCGUCAGCUNGUGCCGUGAGGUGUCNGGUUAAGUNCCAUAACNAGCGCAACCCUUAUGAUUAGUUGCUAACGGUUCAAGCCNANCACUCUAUUCACACU